This 410-nucleotide ribosomal RNA is filed under the name uncultured microorganism. RNAcentral's name for it is "bacterial SSU rRNA". It matches the Rfam family "Bacterial small subunit ribosomal RNA", at positions 509 to 917 of the family's 1533-position model. The record is from RNAcentral.
CAGCCGCCGCGGUAAUACGUAGGGUGCGAGCGUUACUCGGAUUUACUGGGCGUAAAGCGUGCGCAGGCGGCCCGUUAAGACAGGUGUGAAAUCCCUGGGCUCAACCUAGGAAUUGCGCUUGUGACUGGCGGGCUCGAGUACGGUAGAGGGGGGUGGAAUUCCUGGUGUAGCAGUGAAAUGCGUAGAGAUCAGGAGGAACACCGAUGGCGAAGGCAGCCCCCUGGGCCUGUACUGACGCUCAUGCACGAAAGCGUGGGGAGCAAACAGGAUUAGAUACCCUGGUAGUCCACGCCCUAAACGAUGGGUACUAGCCGUUUGGUGCGCGAUAGCGCUGAGUGGCGAAGCUAACGCGUGAAGUCCCCCGCCUGGGGAGUACGGCCGCAAGGUUGAAACUUAAAGGAAUUGGCGGG